Molecule: long non-coding RNA, 436 nt
Organism: Populus nigra (black poplar)
Lineage: Eukaryota; Viridiplantae; Streptophyta; Magnoliopsida; Malpighiales; Salicaceae
Exons: 3
Source: RefSeq, a predicted model, not a curated record
GAAAAUGGAAGGAGCAAACCGUGAGAGAGAAGGGAGGAGGAAGAAGAAGAAAAGAAAAGAGGGGAAGAGAAGUAGAGGAAAUAAGUUUAAAAGGUUCUCCUAACGAUCCUCAAUAUGAUUUUCGGGUCUUUCGUCUGACAUUCCUUUUAGUUCUAUAUUUCUGGGUUCUUAGUUUCUGAUAGCAGGUGAACCUUGUUGAGUGUUCCUGCUUCUUCAGUUUUGGGUCGGUAUGCCUUGCUUAUCUUUCAAGGUUGUUUGAUUCGAUGUCUUAGGCACUCCACUAUUACCUUGUUUUAAUUAAGUUUGGAUUUUUGACAAUGUAAUGACUAUUAUGGAUUAUUGUUUUUGUUUUAAUUACUGAUGAGGAGUUUUAAACUAUCUUUUGGUUUCAUCAGUUUUGGAUAAUAUAAUAUUUCUGAAGAUUAUGAAAUGCUGC